UGCGCAGGCGGUUUUGUAAGACAGAUGUGAAAUCCCCGGGCUUAGCCUGGGAACUGCGUUUGUGACUGCAAGGCUAGAGUACGGCAGAGGGGGGUGGAAUUCCUGGUGUAACAGUGAAAUGCGUAGAUAUCAGAAAGAACACCGAUGGCGAAGGCAGCCCCCUGGGCCUGUACUGACGCUCAUGCACGAAAGCGUGGGAGCAAACA
RNAcentral lists this ribosomal RNA (206 nucleotides) under uncultured bacterium. RNAcentral's name for it is "partial 16S ribosomal RNA". It matches the Rfam family "Bacterial small subunit ribosomal RNA", at positions 568 to 774 of the family's 1533-position model. The record is from RNAcentral.